Molecule: ribosomal RNA, 799 nt
Filed under: uncultured bacterium
Lineage: Bacteria
Description: bacterial SSU rRNA
Rfam family: Bacterial small subunit ribosomal RNA
Source: RNAcentral
AGAGUUUGAUCAUGGCUCAGGAUGAACGCUAGCGGCAGGCUUAAUACAUGCAAGUCGAGGGGCAGCAGGGGCGUAGCAAUACGUUCGCUGGCGACCGGCAAACGGGUGCGGAACACGUACACAACCUUCCUUAAAGUGGGGGAUAGCCCGGGGAAACCCGGAUUAAUACCCCGUAACAUAAUGAAGUGGCAUCGCUUUAUUAUUAUAGCAGCAAUGCGCUUAAAGAUGGGUGUGCGACUGAUUAGGCAGUUGGCGGGGUAACGGCCCACCAAACCUACGAUCAGUAACUGGUGUGAGAGCACGACCAGUCACACGGGCACUGAGACACGGGCCCGACUCCUACGGGAGGCAGCAGUAAGGAAUAUUGGUCAAUGGACGCAAGUCUGAACCAGCCAUGCCGCGUGGAGGAUGAAGGUCCUCUGGAUUGUAAACUUCUUUUAUCUGGGAAGAAACCCACAAAUUCUUUUGUGGUUGACGGUACCAGAUGAAUAAGCACCGGCUAACUCCGUGCCAGCAGCCGCGGUAAUACGGAGGGUGCAAGCGUUAUCCGGAUUCACUGGGUUUAAAGGGUGCGUAGGUGGGUUGGUAAGUCAGUGGUGAAAUCUCCAGGCUUAACUUGGAAACUGCCAUUGAUACUAUCAAUCUUGAAUACCGUGGAGGUCAGCGGAAUAUGUCAUGUAGCGGUGAAAUGCUUAGAGAUGACAUAGAACACCAAUUGCGAAGGCAGCUGGCUACGCGGAUAUUGACACUGAUGCACGAAAGCGUGGGGAUCAAACAGGAUUAGAUACCCUAGUAGUCC